This is a long non-coding RNA of Dasypus novemcinctus (nine-banded armadillo), 3925 nucleotides long. The record is from Ensembl. NCBI's taxonomy places the organism in Eukaryota, Metazoa, Chordata, Mammalia, Cingulata, Dasypodidae.
CAGUCAGGCAAUUCCAGUUCUUUGCUUGCACUGACAGUUCGUAACAUGAGGAAGUGUAUGGGUGCACGGAUCGGACAUUGGGUUGCCGUUGCUGAUAAGUCUGGGGCGUAGGUCUUUCCUUCAGGGGCGCUGACCGCCUGUGAGAGGCUCAGCCUCUCAGCUGUUGGACUCUGAAGGAGCAUAUUUGACGGCACCAUGUCUGUCUCUGUUAGUCUGCAUCAUCUGUGUGAGGACCUGCUACCUUGUCCAGUGCUCUCGGAAGCCUGCUCUUUCCAGUCAGCUACACGCUUGAGUGGAGACUGUAUGGUCUGCUCACACUCAAGACACGGUGCUGACUUCCCCCAGCAUGGGCAAGGGGUGGUGUGGAAGUGGCCCUGAGGGGGCUGUCUGGAUCCCAGGUCCUUUGCUUUCUGAGGGACGGUCAACUUGGAAUUAGAGCAGGAAUAAGGCAGUGGGAAAACCCUGCGGCCUCCUCACUGUUAGGAGAUGACCAGCUGCCCAGUCAAGGCUUCCGUCUGCCUGGUCUUCCCUUAUGCGUGUCCUUGUUCCCAGCAGGAGCUCGGGGAGACCACUCUGGGGUGAAGAGUAACCAGCUCUUCCUCAAGGGUGCCAAACCCAGGAAGGACGCCCCAGGUCACAGGGUCCAGCAGCUCAUGUGACUUCUUGGAGUUUCCCGGGGUUUCUGUUUAUGCUGGCUUGGCCUUGUCUAAUUAUAAGAGGUGCACAACUCAUACCGGGGACACAGCAUUCUAAGUGAGUUAGGGCCCUGGAAGUUCCCCGUAUCCCAGGGACUAAUUUUAUUGCAGCUGAGUCUCUUUUCAGUGGAGCCACUGUCGCCUCUUUCAGACUCUGAGCCCAGCGCCUCGCUCCUGGCUUUGCAUCGUGAAUCCUCGUCUCCAGGGUUGGUGAGAAGGCUUGUGGCCUGGUGGUGGGCCCUGCCUCUUCGUGUGCGCAGCCUCUUCGUGUGCGCACUUGGUCCUUUCUGCACCGAGGAUUCCAGGACAAGGCAGGCCAAGCCUUUGCCCCGCGCUGCUCAGUGACACAGGAUCUAGUGUAGCUCCAAAGGGCGCUGGGACCGGAGAGAGGCAUCUGGAAUCCUGGUGGCUUUCAGAUGCUACAUGCCCGCCAGUGCUCCCAGUGACAGCUCGUGCAGAGGCUGAGCCACACGGAUCCAAGGUCUUUGAGCAGUACUUCCAGAGGCUCACCCUUACCUGGAGUCGGAACAGUGUUUAUCAACCGUUUUCAUUCACACCCCCACCCCAUAUCCUGUACUUGGAAUUGACCCUGUAAAUAUUCCGGACAGCACUGAAUGUGUGUAUAAAAGUCAUUUUUCAAACAUUGUAUAAAGUCACUUCUUAUUUCCUCAGAGUAAAUGGUAAAUUGAUUUUCACUUUACCAGUUCAGUCUUGCAUAAAUGUAAGGAGGCCAGAUACUGUUAAAUAUAAGGCUCCUUGCCUGGAAUCUGGUCGUGUCCUGGACAGUUGCUAAGACAACAGCAUUUUCUCUUUCCCGCCUCUGUUAUUUUUUUUUUCUUUACUACCUCAACUUGUUUUUGUUUUCAGUUAUCAAAUUCUCCGUUACUGUUUUUAAAAAUAGAGAUGCUUUAUUAGCUUUAAUAUAUUAACACUGUAUGUUCUUACCUUUAUGAAAAUCUCUCUAAGAAAUCCAGGCUUGCAAUAAACAGGAAGGCACUAGGAUCGGUUUACAUAAGCAAGAUGACGAAAGGCACAGGUCUGAUUUUUAAAAAAUAAAUUUCCUUUUGGGAACGGAUAUAGUGCAAGUGGUUGUGCUCCUGCUUCCUGUGUAUGAGGGCUCAGGUUUGAUUCCAGGUACCUCCUGAAAAACAAUCAAAAAAACUCAGUUUUCAUUGAGGCGCAAGAAGCUCAGUGGUUGAGUGCCUGCUUCCUGUGUACGAGGUCCUGGGUUCAGUCCCUGGUACCUCCUAAAAAAAUAAAUAAAAUAAAUUCCCUUUUGACACUCAAGCCUUGGAAUUCAGUUUGAUAUCUCUUCUUUAUGCUAACGUAACAGUUCUCAGUUUGGACAUUACUGGAGUUUGAGAGGAACGCACAGCACCUUUGGAACACCUGCUGUGCCUUAGGCCCUGGGGCUGCUGCUGCCAUACCAUAACCUAGAUUGCAUAGAACACCAGGAAGUUGACCUCUCCAGUUCCAGGGCUGGGUGCCCAAAAUCCGGGUGCCCGUGGGGCCGUGCGCCUCCGAAGUCUGUAGGGGAAUCUGUUCCCUCCUCUCUCUGAGCUUCUGGCUCUGGCCCUCAUAUGUAGCCCUUGGCUCGUGCCAUAACGCAGCACCUGCAGCCUCUGCCUCCACCAUCACGUGGCUUUCUUCUCUGUGUCUCCGCCCCUUCUUAUAAGGACACUUGCCACACCGAAUUAAAGACACCAUACUCCAGAGUGACCUCAUGUUAGUUUGCUUAAUUCCACCUGUAAUUACCCUAUUUCAGCCCAGAGGUACUGGGGAUUAAGACUUGAAUAUAUCUUGGGGGGAGGGGGGACGACGACAGUUCAACCCCUAACACUCUCUAGUAAGUAGGGCUGGAAAAUAAGACCCUACCUCUGCCUCUACCUGCUCCACAGAAAGUUAAUGAUAAUAGUUGAAAUUCAGCUUUGAAUCUGUGUGUCCCCAGAUAUUCAUAUUUCUGUAUAUGGAAAAUUACUAACGUAUCACUUUGAGAAGAAAAUAGUAUAGAAGAUGAAGUUUUUAUCACUUGCAUUGAUUUGUUUGUAAUUUCUGAUCAUUGUGAGAUAUCUGUGGAUGUAUAGUGUUAAGUGUUGUGAUACUUUACAUACAGUCUGAAAACCAAGCAUAUCCUUAUUUUGGUGUGUGUUGAAUUAUUACUUUGAUUUAUUUUUAGAAUUUUUAGAAAGGAUACUAUUUUUAGAUAUUUAAACAAACACUUGGAGAAGAAGCAUAUCUGUUCUAUUUUUCACAGCUGGUAAGAGUUACGGGGAAUUAAGACAUUUAAACUAUGAUAUUUUACCCAACAAUGAAUAUGAUAGUUAAAUAUGGAUAAAUCUAUAAUAGACUGUGGUGUUUAUUAAAAAUAGAAAGCAUUUAUCUUAAAAAUAAAAUGUUUGAAAAUUGAUUUGAUAAAAUUAAAAGAUGUUUUUGAAAAUUGGCCCCUUUGGUUGGCUGUAUACACGGACAAUCAAGAACUCAGAAGAAGAAAUUUACAGAAGAAUAGAGACCUCCACAGACAUGGAAGAGGAAUGAACUUUGAUGUUGCAGCCCCAGGAAGAGAGAUGAGCCGUUCACCUGAUAGUUUGCAACUGAAGAGACCAGAGUCCUGAGCAGCUAAGAGGGCCCAGAAAGAAACAAGCCCUCCAACCUGCAGCUGAGAUCAGGAGAAGCUGGGCCUACAGAGCCUGAGGGGAGAGAGGAGGGCUGAACCCUCGCAGACAUGCCCACCAGUGUGCUUCAACAGCAGUGUGCUUCAAGUUUACUUUGGUGAGAAAAGUAAACUUGAGUUGGACUCUUUAGGACCUUGAAACUAAGCUUUUACCCCAAAUAAAUACCUGUUAUAAAAGCCAACAGAUUUCUGGUACUUUGCACUGCUUUGGCUGACUAAUACAGCUCCCUUCAGUCUUUUUAUUUACUUAUUUACAGUACUAUAACAGAGUACUUGGUGCCAGUAUUAAUAUAUAUUUUUAGUCCACCAGGAAAACUCUUUCAACUUAGAAACUAUGAGCUCCAUUGUAAGCUCCUGAUAAUAUAAAACUUACAGAAAGCAUGUGUGUGUGUGUAUAUACCACAUAUAUAAAUACAAACUUACGUCCCAGGACAUGCACGUUCUCCAGUGACAUGCUGUUGAAGCACAUAUUAAUGGGUAUGGGUACAGACUGUAGACAGCUUUAACAGGUCUCCUUAGCAUUGAUCCUAAUGUUUGCUGCCCUGGAAAUCUUUAGCCA